UAUCGUAUGGUCUAGUGGUUAGGGCGGCCGGUCAUCAGCCGGAAAACCCAGGUUCGAUUCCUGGUGCGGUAG
Glossina austeni is the source of this 72-nucleotide non-coding RNA. The record is from Rfam. Lineage: Eukaryota; Metazoa; Arthropoda; Insecta; Diptera; Glossinidae.